This 253-nucleotide ribosomal RNA is filed under the name uncultured bacterium. Its description in RNAcentral is "partial 16S ribosomal RNA". It matches the Rfam family "Bacterial small subunit ribosomal RNA", at positions 524 to 776 of the family's 1533-position model. The record is from RNAcentral.
UACGAAGGGUGCAAUCGUUGCUCGGAAUCAUUGGGCGUAAAGCGCACGUAGGCGGCAUUCUAAGUCGGAUGUGAAAUCCCUCGGCUCAACCGAGGACGUGCAUCCGAAACUGGAACGCUCGAGUAUGGAAGAGGGUCGCGGAAUUCUCGGUGUAGAGGUGAAAUUCGUAGAUAUCGGGAGGAACACCAGUGGCGAAGGCGGCGACCUGGGCCAAUACUGACGCUGAGGUGCGAAAGCGUGGGGAGCAAACAGG